Molecule: ribosomal RNA, 324 nt
Filed under: uncultured bacterium
Lineage: Bacteria
Description: bacterial SSU rRNA
Rfam family: Bacterial small subunit ribosomal RNA
Source: RNAcentral
GAUGAACGCUGGCGGCGUGCUUAACACAUGCAAGUCGAACGAAGCACUUAUGAUUGAGAUUUCGGUUGAUUGAUUAAGUGACUUAGUGGCGGACGGGUGAGUAACGCGUGGGUAACCUGCCUUGUACAGGGGGAUAACAGUUAGAAAUGACUGCUAAUACCGCAUAACCCGCUAAGGUCGCAUGACCUAGACGGAAAAGAUUUAUCGGUACAAGAUGGACCCGCGUCUGAUUAGCUAGUUGGUGAGGUAACGGCCCACCAAGGCGACGAUCAGUAGCCGGUCUGAGAGGAUGAACGGCCACAUUGGGACUGAGAUACGGCCCAG